RNAcentral lists this ribosomal RNA (239 nucleotides) under uncultured bacterium. Its description in RNAcentral is "partial 16S ribosomal RNA". It matches the Rfam family "Bacterial small subunit ribosomal RNA", at positions 524 to 761 of the family's 1533-position model. The record is from RNAcentral.
UACGAAGGGGGCUAGCGUUGCUCGGAAUGACUGGGCGUAAAGGGCGCGUAGGCGGUUUGCACAGUCAGAUGUGAAAUUCCUGGGCUCAACCUGGGGGCUGCAUUUGAUACGUGUAGACUUGAGUGGGGAAGAGGGUCGUGGAAUUCCCAGUGUAGAGGUGAAAUUCGUAGAUAUUGGGAAGAACACCAGUGGCGAAGGCGGCGACCUGGUCCUUGACUGACGCUGAGGCGCCGAAAGCG